ACUUAAAUUGAAGAGUUUGAUCAUGGCUCAGAUUGAACGCUGGCGGCAGGCCUAACACAUGCAAGUCGAGCGGUAGCACAGAGAGCUUGCUCUCGGGUGACGAGCGGCGGACGGGUGAGUAAUGUCUGGGAAACUGCCUGAUGGAGGGGGAUAACUACUGGAAACGGUAGCUAAUACCGCAUAACGUCGCAAGACCAAAGUGGGGGACCUUCGGGCCUCAUGCCAUCAGAUGUGCCCAGAUGGGAUUAGCUAGUAGGUGGGGUAACGGCUCACCUAGGCGACGAUCCCUAGCUGGUCUGAGAGGAUGACCAGCCACACUGGAACUGAGACACGGUCCAGACUCCUACGGGAGGCAGCAGUGGGGAAUAUUGCACAAUGGGCGCAAGCCUGAUGCAGCCAUGCCGCGUGUGUGAAGAAGGCCUUCGGGUUGUAAAGCACUUUCAGCGGGGAGGAAGGCGAUAAGGUUAAUAACCUUGUCGAUUGACGUUACCCGCAGAAGAAGCACCGGCUAACUCCGUGCCAGCAGCCGCGGUAAUACGGAGGGUGCAAGCGUUAAUCGGAAUUACUGGGCGUAAAGCGCACGCAGGCGGUCUGUCAAGUCGGAUGUGAAAUCCCCGGGCUCAACCUGGGAACUGCAUUCGAAACUGGCAGGCUAGAGUCUUGUAGAGGGGGGUAGAAUUCCAGGUGUAGCGGUGAAAUGCGUAGAGAUCUGGAGGAAUACCGGUGGCGAAGGCGGCCCCCUGGACAAAGACUGACGCUCAGGUGCGAAAGCGUGGGGAGCAAACAGGAUUAGAUACCCUGGUAGUCCACGCCGUAAACGAUGUCGAUUUGGAGGUUGUGCCCUUGAGGCGUGGCUUCCGGAGCUAACGCGUUAAAUCGACCGCCUGGGGAGUACGGCCGCAAGGUUAAAACUCAAAUGAAUUGACGGGGGCCCGCACAAGCGGUGGAGCAUGUGGUUUAAUUCGAUGCAACGCGAAGAACCUUACCUGGUCUUGACAUCCACAGAACUUUCCAGAGAUGGAUUGGUGCCUUCGGGAACUGUGAGACAGGUGCUGCAUGGCUGUCGUCAGCUCGUGUUGUGAAAUGUUGGGUUAAGUCCCGCAACGAGCGCAACCCUUAUCCUUUGUUGCCAGCGGUCCGGCCGGGAACUCAAAGGAGACUGCCAGUGAUAAACUGGAGGAAGGUGGGGAUGACGUCAAGUCAUCAUGGCCCUUACGACCAGGGCUACACACGUGCUACAAUGGCAUAUACAAAGAGAAGCGACCUCGCGAGAGCAAGCGGACCUCAUAAAGUAUGUCGUAGUCCGGAUUGGAGUCUGCAACUCGACUCCAUGAAGUCGGAAUCGCUAGUAAUCGUAGAUCAGAAUGCUACGGUGAAUACGUUCCCGGGCCUUGUACACACCGCCCGUCACACCAUGGGAGUGGGUUGCAAAAGAAGUAGGUAGCUUAACCUUCGGGAGGGCGCUUACCACUUUGUGAUUCAUGACUGGGGUGAAGUCGUAACAAGGUAACCGUAGGGGAACCUGCGGUUGGAUCACCUCCUUACCUUAAAGAA
RNAcentral lists this ribosomal RNA (1554 nucleotides) under Klebsiella pneumoniae. RNAcentral's name for it is "bacterial SSU rRNA". It matches the Rfam family "Bacterial small subunit ribosomal RNA". Lineage: Bacteria; Pseudomonadati; Pseudomonadota; Gammaproteobacteria; Enterobacterales; Enterobacteriaceae. The record is from RNAcentral. RNAcentral also lists the same sequence under 5 other names.